RNAcentral lists this ribosomal RNA (301 nucleotides) under uncultured bacterium. RNAcentral's name for it is "partial 16S ribosomal RNA". It matches the Rfam family "Bacterial small subunit ribosomal RNA", at positions 509 to 807 of the family's 1533-position model. The record is from RNAcentral.
CAGUCGCCGCGGUAAUACGUAGGUGGCAAGCGUUGUCCGGAGUUAUUGGGCGUAAAGGGCUCGCAGGCGGUUUCUUAAGUCUGAUGUGAAAGCCCCCGGCUCAACCGGGGAGGGUCAUUGGAAACUGGGAAACUUGAGUGCAGAAGAGGAGAGUGGAAUUCCACGUGUAGCGGUGAAAUGCGUAGAGAUGUGGAGGAACACCAGUGGCGAAGGCGACUCUCUGGUCUGUAACUGACGCUGAGGAGCGAAAGCGUGGGGAGCGAACAGGAUUAGAUACCCCUGUAGUCCCUGUCUCUUAUAC